GACGAACGCUGGCGGCGUGCUUAACACAUGCAAGUCGAACGGAAAGGCCCUGCUUGCAGGGUGCUCGAGUGGCGAACGGGUGAGUAACACGUGGGUGAUCUGCCCCUUACUUUGGGAUAAGCCUUGGAAACUGGGUCUAAUACUGGAUAGGACCAUGCUGUAGGUGGUGUGGUGGAAAGAUUAGUUUCGGUGAGGGAUGAGCUCGCGGCCUAUCAGCUUGUUGGUGGGGUAAUGGCCUACCAAGGCGUCGACGGGUAGCCGGCCUGAGAGGGUGGACGGCCGCAUUGGGACUGAGAUACGGCCCAGACGCCUACGGGAGGCAGCAGUGGGGAGUAUUGCACAAUGGGCGCAAGCCGGAUGCAGCGACGCCGCGGGGGGGAUGACGGCCUUCGGGUUGUAGUCUCCUUUCAGCCAUGACGAAGCCCUUGUGGUGACGGUAGUGGUAGAAGAAGCACCGGCUAACUACGUG
RNAcentral lists this ribosomal RNA (469 nucleotides) under uncultured bacterium. Its description in RNAcentral is "partial 16S ribosomal RNA". It matches the Rfam family "Bacterial small subunit ribosomal RNA", at positions 28 to 507 of the family's 1533-position model. The record is from RNAcentral.